CGGCACGGGUGAGUAACACGUAUCCAACCUGCCGUCUACUCUUGGACAGCCUUCUGAAAGGAAGAUUAAUACAAGAUGGCAUCAUGAGUCCGCAUGUUCACAUGAUUAAAGGUGUUCCGGUAGACGAUGGGGAUGCGUUCCAUUAGAUAGUAGGCGGGGUAACGGCCCACCUAGUCUUCGAUGGAUAGGGGUUCUGAGAGGAAGGUCCCCCACAUUGGACUGAGACACGGCCCAA
RNAcentral lists this ribosomal RNA (235 nucleotides) under uncultured bacterium. Its description in RNAcentral is "partial 16S ribosomal RNA". It matches the Rfam family "Bacterial small subunit ribosomal RNA", at positions 100 to 334 of the family's 1533-position model. The record is from RNAcentral.